This 577-nucleotide ribosomal RNA is filed under the name uncultured bacterium. RNAcentral's name for it is "bacterial SSU rRNA". It matches the Rfam family "Bacterial small subunit ribosomal RNA", at positions 338 to 916 of the family's 1533-position model. The record is from RNAcentral.
CCUACGGGAGGCAGCAGUAAGGAAUAUUGGUCAAUGGACGAAAGUCUGAACCAGCCAUGCCGCGUGAAGGAUUAAGGCCCUCUGGGUUGUAAACUUCUUUUAUCUGGGACGAAAAAAGGGUAUUCUUACUCACUUGACGGUACCAGAGGAAUAAGCACCGGCUAACUCCGUGCCAGCAGCCGCGGUAAUACGGAGGGUGCAAGCGUUAUCCGGAUUUACUGGGUUUAAAGGGUGCGUAGGUGGGUUUGUAAGUCAGUGGUGAAAUCUCCGAGCUUAACUCGGAAACUGCCAUUGAUACUAUAGAUCUUGAAUUAUCUGGAGGUAAGCGGAAUAUGUCAUGUAGCGGUGAAAUGCUUAGAUAUGACAUAGAACACCAAUUGCGAAGGCAGCUUACUACGGAUAUAUUGACACUGAGGCACGAAAGCGUGGGGAUCAAACAGGAUUAGAUACCCUGGUAGUCCACGCCCUAAACGAUGGAUACUCGACAUCAGCGAUACACUGUUGGUGUCUGAGCGAAAGCAUUAAGUAUCCACCUGGGAAGUACGAUCGCAAGAUUGAAACUCAAAGGAAUUGACGG